Molecule: ribosomal RNA, 824 nt
Filed under: Bolocera kerguelensis
Lineage: Eukaryota; Metazoa; Cnidaria; Anthozoa; Actiniaria; Actiniidae
Description: partial 12S small subunit ribosomal RNA
Rfam family: Bacterial small subunit ribosomal RNA
Source: RNAcentral
GGAAGACUCACAUAGAGGCAGCAGUAGAGAAUCUUGUGCAAUAAACGAAAGUAUGACACAGAGAGGACACAUUUAAUUGAGCCCGUCAAAUUAAGUGCCAGCCGACGCGGUUAAACUUAAGGGCUGGUCUUUAUAAGUAAAAAGGCGUAAAGGAUGUGUAGGCCAAGAAACGACCCAAGUAGGUAAAUGGAAUUUUUCUGGAGCGGUAGAAUGUGAGGAUAGAAAAUAGAACCCCUAAGGUAAAAACUAUUUACCACAAGGUAGGCUGAAACAUGAGAGUGUGGGGAGCAAACAGGAUUAGAGACCCUGGUAGUCCACACUGUGAACUUUGAAGAUGAUGCUUAGCAGACCCGAAAGGUAAAAUCUUCCGCCUGAGUAGUACGAUCGCAAGAUUAAAAUUCAAAAACUUUGGCUGUUCACUAUUUCGAUUAGAGGAGCGUGUAGUUUAAUUCGAUGGUCCGCGUGUUACCUUACCCCAACUUGAAUCUGUGACCGGUAUUGCAUGGCCGUCGUAAGUUCGUGUAUUAAGCUAGAAGGGACCCAACCCGGGCAUUUGCCCGGAGGAAGUCAGGUCUUAUGAUCCGAAUGUUGGGGGAUUUUAUGCGCUACAUUUUCUUAUAUAAUGGGAAACCUGGAAGGUGAGCCUCUAAAGUAAGAGUUCGGAAGGUCGCUGUAAGACGACUGGAAGUUGGAUUUAAUAGUAAUCGGAAAGUAGGGCGUUCCGGUGAAUUGGUACAAGUGUUAGCACAAAUUGCCCGUCACCUUUACCUAGAAUGGUUAUUCGGACGUCUUCGGUGAUUACGAAUGCCUACGAGGUAAAGCAA